CCUCUUCUUAGAGUUAUUAGCUUUUAUUUGCCAUUUUUCUUUUCAUGUCGCCUAAUCUUUACAGUCUCCUUUCUGAUCUCAAGUUUGUUUCUGGAUUACUAGUACCAUAAAAAGUUGAGGAUGGACAUAUUGGAAACACCUGCAUUUUUUUUUAUCUGCAAAGGACAUUUUUCCUUAUUCUCGAACACAUUUAUAAAUUUUAGUGGUUGGACGUUGUUAAAUAUAUAUGUUUUGAUUCUUAAAAAUAUGGAGCUUGUCCACUACAACUGCCUUUGGAAGUGUUUCUUCAAGGAGGGAAAAGAAAUUAGAACCCUAGUAGUCAAUGGUCUUUACUUACCUAUAAAACUAUCUAGUUAAAUCUUGUUUGCUUCCUUCGAUUCUAUUUCAUUUCUAUCAUAACUCUGUUUUUAUCAUUUGGACCUUUAUAUUAGUUUGGUGAAAGCUUGUUUUCUUCCUUAAGUUUGUUCAACUGGCUCGAACAAGUUUUUGAUCACCAUCUUACUCUACUUUCCCUCAUUUUUUCACUUGUUGAAACUACUCCAAGAUUUCCGUAAGUAUAUUCAUUUCUAAUCCUAUCUUUUCCAGUUUCUCCCUUGUUAUGAAUUAUUGAACCAAGGUAACAGAAGAAAUUAUAGUUUUGGAUGAACUAAUUCUAUGGGAAACAUUCUCAACCUGUCCCUAGUUAUGAAUUACUAAACCAUGGUAACAGAAGCCAUAUCUUGGUCUCCAAUACUAAUAAUAUUACACUAUUCUCACAAUAGUUAUAUAUUCACUCUAAUUUUGUCAAUCCAUGGAAUUUCUUCUUUGACAUGUUUAAUCAUACAUCCAUGACUAUGUGGUCAAAUAAGGGCUAUGUGUCAAUCUAUGUUGAAGUCUCGUUAUAAUUAAUAACUCUGAUGUCUCUCCCCUAGGUGUCUAACACUGGUCAUUGUGCCAUCAUAUAUGUUCUUUAGUUCGCAUAUCUAUUUGUCAUUCAAUCAUUCAUUUCUUUCCCAAAACAUGUCAUAUCAUUUCUUACUGUCUAAAUAUAAGUUUAUCUUAAAUAAUUCAUACAUCUUUUAUUUUGAUGACAAUCUUUGUGUGCUAAAAUCCAAUGUUAGACAAGUUUGUUAUUUUAGAUAAUCAUCUCCUUUUUAAUUUCAUCGCUACUAUUGUUUAUGUGCAUAAGAAAAAUCAAAUCUGAUUCAUUUGAUUUCGAUUCUGCGUUGUGUUUGAAUUCCUUUUGUCUCAAAACUUUCAAGCCUGGUUAUAAUAUUUAUCUGCAGAGAAUUGUUGUCAAUCAAAUUCUACCUAUUGAUCCAACAGUUUUUGCUCUUUCAGGCAAUAGGGGAACCAUAAUUGAUUCUGGUACAACUUUCGCAUACCUUGCAGCAGAUGCAUAUGAUCCAUUUGUCAAUGUUAUAGAUAAAGUUGUUUCACAAUCCGCAAGUUCAGCUUUAUGCUUUGCUAGUACUGCACCUAUGAUCUUAAGCCAAUUGAAUGAAGUAUUGUUAUUAUGCCACCAAAAGAGAAUUGCUGUCAAUGGGCAAAUUCUCCCCAUUGAUCCAACAGUGUUUGCCACUUCAAGCAAUAGGGGAACCAUAACUGAUUCUGGUACAACUUUGGCAUAUCUUGCAGCAGAUGCAUAUAUGAUCCAUUUGAACUAACCAACAAACUAGAACCAAUGAAGUGUUGUCCGCACAAGUUUGAACUAACCAAACAGAAAGAUAUUACUUCCGAGUCUAGAGCAGGAUGGAGGUACGGAUUUUUUGCUACUGACCCACCUGGGUGGUGGGACAACACAUGCAUUGAAGACUUGCAUUCUAUAAUUUUCUUGUAUGUCAUAUACAAUAGCGGAUAAAUAAUGUUGUUUCACAAUCUGCUCAUUCAGCUUUAUGCUUUGCUAGUACUGCACCUAUGAUCUUAAGUCAAUUGAAUGAAGUAUUGUUAUUAUUCCACCAAAAGGUUUCAAUUCAAAUUUUUAACAUUUCUGCCAAGAUGGGGCAAGAAUUUUGGUGCAUUGGCUUCCAUAGAGUUCAGGACCAAGGGAUGACCAUUUUAGGAGGAUUGUCUGCAAUUUGCCACCACAUUCUAAAGUCUGACCUCAUGGCUCCCAACUCCUUUGGUCAUGCAUCUUGGUCUCCAGUAAGUCCCGUGGUGAACGAAGGAUCAACAAAGUUGUUUAGAAACUUCAACAUCUUAUACGGAACCUCCAUGGCUUGUCCUCAUGCGGUGGGAGCGGUAACACUUAUGAAAGCAGUCCAUCCUGAAUGAAGCCCAACAACCAUUUGAUCUGCCAUGAUGACAACAGAAGAUUGACUCGGUAACACUAUCAAACCCAUCACAGAACUCUUAGACGACGAGCAACCCACCAGUCCUCUAGCCAUGGGAGCGGGUCACCUAAAUCCUAACAAGGUGCUCGACCUUGGACUUGUAUAUGAUGCAAAUACAGAGGACUACAUGAGGCUUCUCUGCACUCUGAAUUACACUAAGAAGGAAUCAAGAAGAUAACAAUGUCAUUCUCUGCGCAAAAGUUUGGGGAUGCCUCUUCAACAUUCAAUCCAAGAGCUCUUCCUUAUGAUCUUAGUGUAAUUGUGAAUGAAAAUCUGUAGGGACAUGCUACCCCUGUCUUGUGUAGUCCCUUAGAAUAUUAUCAAAAAAAAAUGUUUGUAUUUCAUUGGAGGUUGCAAACAAGGUUAAAAUUAUCUUUUACACUUGCUUAGCCUAACACAUGGCAAUUAUCUUUCACAGUUGGCCAAAAAGAUUGAAUGAUCAGGAAUCUUUCAUAUCAAAAGUUGAUCUGGGACCUCAAAAUGGCCCCAUUCAUUUGGAUUU
Molecule: non-coding RNA, 2814 nt
Organism: Nelumbo nucifera (sacred lotus)
Lineage: Eukaryota; Viridiplantae; Streptophyta; Magnoliopsida; Proteales; Nelumbonaceae
Source: RefSeq, a predicted model, not a curated record